Molecule: long non-coding RNA, 792 nt
Filed under: Ricinus communis (castor bean)
Lineage: Eukaryota; Viridiplantae; Streptophyta; Magnoliopsida; Malpighiales; Euphorbiaceae
Description: long non-coding RNA (RCOM_LNC002707)
Source: RNAcentral
GUCUCUAUGGAUUUUAAUUUAAGCUCAUUUCACCAUCCUUUAACCUAAUAGACUAUUUUUUCAUAUUAAGGUCCAAUUUUAACCUAAAGUCUAUAUGUCCAGUUUUAAUUAAACGAUCAUAUAGCAAAUAUUUUGGCAUCCAUCAAACAUAGAACAAAAAUACAAUGCAAAAAAUUAAUUCUAACUAUUACAACCCUCCUGCAACUAAUAAAUUGAAAGAAAAACAUCUAAGACUAAGCUAUAGUGUACAAAAUAGAUCAAAAUACAUAGAAAUCCAAAAUUAAGGCAAAUAUGGUUGAAGAGCUGAUCGGGUGAGGUCACAUGCCAAUCUCAGCACAGAGUUGAUCGGCUCUAGGGCUUGAUCUGGCUGGUUCUAUGAUUUUCCUUGAAGUUCUCAUGCCUCGAAGCCAAUUUUGCAUUCAUAGAAGGCCAAAAAUCGAUUAAAAACACAAGAUAAUGAAAUAAUAACAUAGAAAAAAAUUAAAUGGACUAAAACACAUAAGAAAUAAUAUAAAUAUAAAAAAAGAAGAAACUGGCAGAAGGCUAGAACAUAUUACAUGACAGAUUCUAGAUUUGAACAUACAACCCUAGAACUUUCAUGUAAUCACAUAAUCAUUCAUAAAAAGGACACAAAUCAUAUAACCCUAAUCCUUCUCAUUAUUAGAUUCAAAAUCAAGCACAUACAUAUUAUCAUAUUCAAAUCCCAAGAUAGAUUAUAUCAUCAUAUUCAAAAUCUAAUAAAAUCAUAAACAUGUUAAGUGAGGAGAAACCUUAACCUAAUCAUGCAAAUCA